This 5620-nucleotide long non-coding RNA is filed under the name Fragaria vesca (wild strawberry). Its description in RNAcentral is "long non-coding RNA (FVES_LNC005601)". Lineage: Eukaryota; Viridiplantae; Streptophyta; Magnoliopsida; Rosales; Rosaceae. The record is from RNAcentral.
CAAAUAAUAAAAAUCACUAAACCUUCAUGGAAAUAUAUAAGAAAGUUACUUCAUUUAUUUUAUAACGAAAUAAAUACAAGGGGAAACAGAAUAGAGAGGAACUGUCUCUAAGGCAGCCUGCACCAGGUUGAUAAAAUCUGAUAGUUGUAGCAACUCUAGGUGGGAAUAAAGAAAAUUACAUGAUUCAGCCUACAGUUAUUUAAAAUCAUUCCAUUACAAUUUCCUUUGGAACAGCUUUGAGAGGCUGAGCCAUUUGUAAAGAGAGGGCAAACUGUCUUCCAAGUUCAUAGUCUCAGGUACAACUCCAUCUUCAAGCUUCCAAUCAAAGCAGUUAAUGAGUGAACCCAGCAUCAAGUGCAACAUUCUCAUUGCCAAUGGCAAACCUGGACAGAUUCUCCUCCCAGCCCCAAACGGAAGAAGUUCAAAAAUUUUUCCCAUAACAUCAAUUUGGUUCUCUAAUCCUAAGAACCUCUCCGGCAUAAAAGAGUUUGGAUUGUCCCAAAUGUUGGGGUCUCUGCUCAUGGCCCAAACAUUAACUACAACCAGUGCACCCUUCGGGACAAUUUAUUCCCCUAUUUCUACAUCAGUUUCAGCUUUUCGUGGUAGCAAUGGACCUACUGGGCGCAAGCGAAAGGUUUCCUUGAUUAUUGCUUGUAAGUAAGGGAGUCUAGCAAUAUCGGAUUCCUCGAUUGGUUUUCCUUUUCCAAUCAUUUGAUCCAGCUCUUCUUUAGCUUUAGAAAGGCACUUUGGGUUGUGUAGUAGCUCCGCCAUUGCCCAUUCCAAUGCUGAACUUGUUUCUGUACCCGCAACAAAUAGAACCUACACAUUCACCGUGAGUUAGUGACUACGUUUGGAAAGUAAUGUUAAACAGAGACAAGCGUGGCCCACGGAUCACAUUGUACCGAUUUUGUUAAACUUAACCACAUUUAAUUAAGGUGUUGGGUUUUAAUCACAAAAUGUCUCGAUACAAUUGAAUAAGGUCCAUCCACUUAUAAGUUAUAUUUUAUUUGUCAUUUUUCUGACGUGGGAUCUAUUCCUCUCCAAUACUUCCAACAAGUAAAACCUGCUGUGCACUUUGAAUCUUUAUCAAAUUGAAGAUGUCAUCAUUUAGAGAACAAAUAAUCAGUAAUUAAGGUAUUAUUGAAGUGACUAUUCAAGAAGAACAGAAGAGUAGAUAGAGAGUGGACAGUAGACUAACCAUUAACAAAUAUUCAACAACUUUGGGGUUGUUCAAAUCUUCCUCAUUUUCCUCUUCUCUGAGGUCUAUUAGAGUAUCCAACAGAUCAUUACUUGUCACAUAAUCAUCCCUUUUUCUACAUUCCAACCGUUGACUGAUCACUGAUUCAAAUAAGCUUAACAUCUUGUUGUGGUAAAUUGUAAAGCUCCGCCUUCUGCCUUGGGGAUCAAUCUUCCUAAGCACAGGAAAAUAGUCCCCUAAAUUCGGUUUCCCAGCCUCUUCUAGCAUACCUUUAGCAUUCUUCUGAAACUCUUUAGUCAUCUCGCUGCUGCUACUCAAGUCAUCAUCAGCCAAAUCCACUGAGAGAACAGUUCUUGACAGCAAAUCAAGUGAAGUUUUGAAGGCAGCCUUUCCAAUAUCUACUGCCAAACCCUUUACCAUGCUGUCAUUGACACUAGCUAUGAGCUCUUGCACUUUUGCUCUCCGGUUUUCUUUGUUGGCAUCAAGAACUCUGGUGGUAAAGAGUUGGGAGGUGCAUAUUUUCCGCAGAUUUUUCCACCUUGGUGAUACUGGCAUCCACGGCAAGCUGUCAGCCGCUACUCGCAGCGCAUCUGGGAUUGGUUUGUUGCAGAACAAUUGGUCAUGGAUUCGGAGGAUUUCUUUGGCCAUGGUUGGUGAAGAAACUACUAUAGUGGUUAUCUGGCCUAGUUUCAAAGACAUAAUGGAGCCAUAGUGUUGUGAGAGCUUGGUCAAAGAGAUAUGAGGUUUGUCUCCAAGAUCAAAGAGAUUUCCAACCAAUGGAAAUGGCUUUGGUCCUGGUGGAAGCCUAACUUUGGUUCUUCUAUGGAGGGCUUGGAUUAAGAAGCAGGAGAUAAAGCACAGACACAACAGUGUACCAGACAAGAAGUCCAUCUUUCGCUAACAAAUUAGCUUCAUUCACAACUCCAACGCCAACUCUCUUUGAGCUUAACUUAUAGGAUGAGUUGAGCUAGAAUGCUAGAUCAUGAAUUAUGGACGGUGUAUUCACAUGUGGUAUAGAUUUGCAAGGAAAAGUUUCUCUUUCUCAAUUAAUCAAUUUCAUGUUAGAAAAAUUGGUUAUGAAAUUAAAUGUAGUGAGAGGCUGAUAAUCCCCUCCUAUCCUCGAUCAUCAAGCUAUGAGAAAAGGUGCAAUAUGCCUCUUACAGCUUGGUCGACUCUUCUUCAGCCAUACUUCAACCAUGUCUCCAUCAGAUAUAGUAAAAUCUGGAUUGAAUCAUUGAAAUUUAAACAAAAAGACAGAAAAACUUAUGAGGAAGACCUAUAAAUCACCACCUAACAGCUAACCGAGCCAGCAACUACAACUAGUAUUUCAUAUAUAACCGGCAAGAGCCGCAGGAUGCUUACCAUUCUCUACGAAUGCGCAACCCAUUGUGGAAUUAUGUGUUCUGCAACAUUUCAUGAUUAACAGAAUAGUUAAAUGAAUGAAUCAGUGCCAUCUUAGGAUGUUGUGUUGAUAUCUGAGUAUUUCUCCUUGAAAUGCUUUUCCUGUAGUGUCUUUUUUUUAUUUUCUUGUUUUUCAGACUAUCUUGAACUAACUCAGUGCAUAUGUUUGUGAAAUCUUCUUAUAAAUGAUCACUAACAUAUAGAUUCUUUUAUUGUUUGAUAUGAUCAAAAAUGUAAAAUUGAGGAGCAGUGGGAGCAACGUCUUGCGGAAUUAUAACUUAUACUUUUGAGUCUUAUAUUGUUGCAAUCAUUUUGCACUUUUGCUGUUAAUUGUAUGAUCUACAGAUCCAUGAUACAUUAUGAAUGAACAAAAUUUUGAUUGAGUUUUGAUUAUAUCUCAAUAGCGUUGUAUCAUUAUCUUCAUGCCUAUAUAAUAUUUAUCUGCAAAGGACGUGUAUAGAACUACUUAUGUUUGAGGUUAUCAUGAAUCAGCCCUGAGUUUGAGAUAUAGUUAUUGGUAUUGGUUUAUACAUUCAUGUUUAUGACUUGAAAUAUCUAACAAUUAAUCUAUGCUAACAAUUGAUCUGUGCUAACUGCUAAGGGUAAACCCAGAAAUUACUGAUGGGUAAAAACAUCCCUCCUUAUUUGGAGGAGAAGUCGAUUGCCUCAUGCCCAUCAAUCUACAAUGAGGCAAGUUGUUAUUCUAUAGCUAGCGUAGUUGGUGCAGCAUGCAUUUGUUGAAAUGCAAGAGAGCAACCUAUGUAUAUAGAUGUGGUGGCCGGCUGCAAAUAUUGAAAUGGAAGAGCAUACAUUAAUGUGGUAUGAAAACAUUGAGCAUGAAAUAAGGAAGACUUGUGGAAUUCUCUUCCAAGUGAUGGACGUGCAUGAAGAUAGCAUGCAUAUAUUUGCAUAUAUAAAGAGGCAUUUACAAUGGUGCAAAAUAUAGAAGAAUCGGAGCUCAUCUUGUGUGAUCAUCAAGAGUGAGAUAGAAAACUCUUAAGUAGAGAGUCUGUGUGUGUAGCAAAACAAAGUGUGUGUGAGAGUGUAUCCCUUCAAGUGUGAGUCUUGAGGCUAAAAACAUCCGUCCUUAUUUGGAGGAGAAGUCAAUUACCGUAUGUCCAUCAAUCUACAAUGAGGCAAGUUGCUAUUCUAUAGCUACCAUAGUUGGUGCAACAUGCAUUUGUUGAAAUGCAAGAGAGCAACCUAUAUAUAUAGAUGUGGUGGCCGGCUGCAAAGAUUGAAAUGGAAGAGCAUGCAUUAAUGUGGCAUGAAAACAUUGAGCAUGAAACAAGAAAGACUUGUGGAAUUCUCUUCCAAGUGAUGGACGUGCAUGAAGAAUGCAUGCAUAUAUUUGCUUAUAUAUAGAGGCAUUUGCAAUGGUGCAAAAUAUAGAAGAACCAGAGGUAAUCUUCUGUGAUCAUCAAGAGUGAGAUAGAAAACUCUUAAGUAGAGAGUUUGUGUGUGUAGUAAAACAAAGUGUGUGUGAGAGUAUAUCCCUUCAAGUGUGAGUCUUGAAGUAGUGUUUCUCUCGCUGUAACCUUUAUUCGUAUAGUGGAGGUUUUUUGUUGUUGUUGCCACGUGGACAUAGGCAUUUUGCCGAACCACGUUAAUUUUCGGUGUUCUUUAUCAUUUUAUUUCCGCUACAUUUUACAUUUGUGGUUUUGAGUUUCCGAUUUCAUUCUACAGUUUAUUCUUCUGCAUAACCCAACAACUACUGCAUUUAUGUUGUUGUCUUACUUUAUGCUGCCAAGGUAGUUGUGUAUGCAAAGUGAUAUGCUGAAUUGCUGAUACAUGUUAUAAAGUAUAUUUUGUGACUACUUGUAUUUUUAUUAAUUUUAAGAAAAUAAGAUAGUGUAUUUUAUUUAUUUUAUUUGUUUGUUUAGCAGUAAUUUAAAUUCAUAAUUAUGUGUGUAGUGUAUAUUUAUUUAUGUAUAUAUGUAAAUAUACCAGCCCAUUAAUUUUGUUUUUAGACCCAAGUCCAAUUUAAGAAAAAGCCCAAGACCAAUAGAUGACUUAAACUCAAGUCGACAUGAUACUCACAAUGGACUCAUUCAUCCCCAUUCUUGUGAGCUCAUCAGUCAUCAACGAACUUUCUCUCCGAAAUGUGCUUCCCGAUGCCUACUCUUCUCUUGAUAUGAGAUUCAGCUUGCUGUUUAUAGGAAAAAACAAUGGUUUGGUUUGCUAUUUUCUCUAAGUGACUCUCAGACAGGUUCAAAUUACCUUAAUUUCAUUUGCCAUUACUUUUCUCUGCUUCAUUUAUUGUUUAACGAAAUGUGAUCCCCUUAAUAAACAGCUUGAUCUAAUUUUGUGUAUGUCAAAUGAUGUGUCGUUCUAUACUUGUAUUAUUCAGACCACAUAUUUGCUCAAAAUAAUGAUGCAAUGGCCACCUAUUUUUGACGGAAGCAAUGGCCUCCUAUCUUCGACGGAAGCAAUGGCCUCCUAUCUUCGACGGAAGUAAUGAUCUCAUUAUCAAUACUCAAUAAUUCAGAUUGGUGCCUUGUACCACAAGCAACCUAACAGUGAGCAUAAGUCCUAGAUAUCAAACAUCCAUUUUACGUCUUUUUCCCUCCAUUCAUCAUAGUCGAAAAUUAGCCAUAGUCGAACUACUUAUGAAGGCGUUCCGAGUAGGGAAAGAAAAGCAGCCAUACUUGUAGUCUAUGACUGAGGGACGUACAUGCUGAUGGACUGCUGUAAAAGUAAUGAUCAGAGCUUCUUGCAAGCUGCAAAUAAUAAAAAUCACUAAACCUUCAUGGAAAUAUACAAGAAAGUUUACUUCAUUUAUUUUAUAACGAAAUAAAUACAAGGGGAAACAGAAUAGAGAGGAACUGUCUCUAAGGCAGCCUGCACCAGGUUGAUAAAAUCUUAUAGCUAUAGCAACUCUAGGUGGGAAUAAAGAAAAUUACAUGAUUCAGCCUACAGUUAUUUAACAUCAUUCCAUUACAAUUUCCUUUGGAACAGCUUUGAGAGGCUGAGCCAUUUCUAAAGAGACGGCAAACUUGUCUUCCAAGUUCAUAGUCUCAG